GGACACUGAAAGACAGGGUUCACUCCCUCUGCUGCGCAGCUGGAGCUCAGAGCCCGCAGGCCACAACCCCCACCCGCCACACACAACAUGGCGGCGAUUUAGACCUACGUCCAACUUCCGUUUCCUGUGCGGAUGUACGUCACUUCCUCUCCGGUUGCCCUGGAGUUUUAGAAGCCAAGAAGGUGCAGAGUCUGUUCCUCAUCCCUUACGAAUUCUUGCUUCUGCCGCAGCACAGUCUUACGGAGCAGUUUCGAGGCUCUGCCGCCAGCGGCUUGAUGGACCCUCAAGAUCAUUACCUGAGCGGAAACUGAGCCAGAUGCUUAACAGACUGAGCCACCCACAUGCCCCAACUUUUAUUUUUUUAAACGAAGAUCUUUUUUACUUGAAGAAACUUAAGGAUUUGGGCAUCCUAGGAUGUGCUGUGAGAUCGAAAGCAGUAGAAUUUUUGCCAUAGAUCAGAA
RNAcentral lists this long non-coding RNA (461 nucleotides) under Mustela putorius furo (domestic ferret). RNAcentral's name for it is "lncRNA (ENSMPUG00000027136.1)". The record is from RNAcentral. Lineage: Eukaryota; Metazoa; Chordata; Mammalia; Carnivora; Mustelidae.